CUUCUCACUACUGCACUUGACUAGU
Molecule: non-coding RNA, 25 nt
Filed under: Callithrix jacchus (white-tufted-ear marmoset)
Lineage: Eukaryota; Metazoa; Chordata; Mammalia; Primates; Cebidae
Also listed under: 4 other names
Source: RNAcentral